This 72-nucleotide transfer RNA is filed under the name Spirochaetes bacterium ADurb.BinA120. Its description in RNAcentral is "tRNA-Gly". It matches the Rfam family "tRNA". Rfam says of the family: Transfer RNA (tRNA) molecules are approximately 80 nucleotides in length. Their secondary structure includes four short double-helical elements and three loops (D, anti-codon, and T loops). The record is from RNAcentral. Lineage: Bacteria; Pseudomonadati; Spirochaetota.
GCGGGUGUAAUUCAGUGGUAGAAUUUCAGCCUUCCAAGCUGAUAGCGUGGGUUCGAUUCCCAUCACCCGCUC